RNAcentral lists this ribosomal RNA (499 nucleotides) under uncultured Glomeromycotina. RNAcentral's name for it is "partial small subunit ribosomal RNA". It matches the Rfam family "Eukaryotic small subunit ribosomal RNA", at positions 591 to 1091 of the family's 1831-position model. The record is from RNAcentral. Lineage: Eukaryota; Fungi; Glomeromycota.
CCAAUAGCGUAUAUUAAAGUUGUUGCAGUUAAAAAGCUCGUAGUUGAAUUUCGGGGUUAGUAGGCUGGUCAUGCCACCGGUAUGUACUGGUCUUUCUGAUUCCUCCUUCCUGAUGAACUGUAAUGCCAUUAAUUUGGUGUUGCAGGGAAUCUGGACUGUUACUUUGAAAAAAUUAGAGUGUUUAAAGCAGGCUAACGCUUGAAUACAUUAGCAUGGAAUAAUGAAAUAGGACGCUCGAUCCUAUUUUGUUGGUUUCUAGGAUUGACGUAAUGAUUAAUAGGGAUAGUUGGGGGCAUUAGUAUUCAAUUGUCAGAGGUGAAAUUCUUGGAUUUAUUGAAGACUAACUACUGCGAAAGCAUUUGCCAAGGAUGUUUUCAUUAAUCAAGAACGAAAGUUAGGGGAUCGAAGACGAUCAGAUACCGUCGUAGUCUUAACCAUAAACUAUGCCGACUAGGGAUCGGAUGAUGUUAAUUUUUUAAUGACUCAUUCGGCGCCUUAC